This 394-nucleotide ribosomal RNA is filed under the name uncultured Anaeromyxobacter sp. RNAcentral's name for it is "bacterial SSU rRNA". It matches the Rfam family "Bacterial small subunit ribosomal RNA", at positions 67 to 447 of the family's 1533-position model. The record is from RNAcentral. Lineage: Bacteria; Pseudomonadati; Myxococcota; Myxococcia; Myxococcales; Anaeromyxobacteraceae.
CGAGAAAGCCCGCAAGGGUGAGUAAAGCGGCGCACGGGUGCGUAACACGUGGGUAAUCUGCCCUGAAGUCCGGAAUAACUCGCCGAAAGGCGUGCUAAUGCCGGAUGAGACCACGGGAGCCUCGGCUCCUGCGGGAAAAGGUGGCCUCUGUAUACAAGCUAUCGCUUCAGGAUGAGCCCGCGGCCCAUCAGCUCGUUGGCGGGGUAAUGGCCCACCAAGGCUACGACGGGUAGCUGGUCUGAGAGGACGAUCAGCCACACUGGAACUGAGACACGGUCCAGACUCCUACGGGAGGCAGCAGUGGAGAAUCUUGCGCAAUGGGCGAAAGCCUGACGCAGCAACGCCGCGUGUGUGAUGAAGGUCUUCGGAUCGUAAAGCACUGUCGCGAGGGACG